CCAGCACAACCCAUUAUCCACCAGCACAGUACAUAUCAACGCGGAGGUACAGCUUUUUCUUUUCCUGAGCUUGGUAAAUUCCAGCUCCUGCCAAGCAAGGAAACAGCUCUGUGCACCACCCCCGCCCGGAUCCCAGGGACAUCUAGUCUCUACCCUUCAUCAAGAAAACCUCUCUUUGGAACCGAUGGAGACCACUAUGGAUAGACCA
Molecule: long non-coding RNA, 208 nt
Organism: Myodes glareolus (Bank vole)
Lineage: Eukaryota; Metazoa; Chordata; Mammalia; Rodentia; Cricetidae
Source: RefSeq, a predicted model, not a curated record